GUUUCUCUUGUGGGUAAUUACCUUUAAAGAAACCCACUAAGAGAAAUGAUGUUUAUGGAAAAUUAUUUGUAAGCUAUAUCUUUUUCAACUCUUUUAAGUAGUAUUCUUAAACUUUUACCAUCAGAAGGCUAUGAACUCAAACUACUUUAUCUUACAUAUAUUAUAAAAAAAAGUAUAAAAUAAGAAGGAAUGACUUUUUGACCAUUGUGAUGUAUGGAAAAGGACUGAACUUCUAUUUUACAAAUUGAUCAUAUUAAGUCAUAAAAGUUCAGUUCCCCAGCCAAGUUCUGCUGAGGAAUCCCUUCAACCAGACUUACCAAUCUGCUGAAGAAACCUAAAAGAGACAUCAAUUCUACUAAUGAAGAUCUAUCUAUACAAAUAAAAAUCACUAGCUAUAAAAAGAAAAUCAGCAGCUCAAAAAGGAGAGUAAGGUGAACAAGCUGUGCAAAUGGUACUCAAUGAGGAGAAAUAACGCAAGAAACAGGAGAGGUAACUGAAAUUUUCUAGUUUUGUUUUCCGUUAUAUUUGAGGGGUAUUGUGGCAAUAAACAAGAAUAUACUACCAUGGAAAAGGAGCAAUUAACAAUAAGACAACGAAAAAUGGUUGUACUAAUCUAAACACUCCCCCGGUACAUGAAAUUCAGGUUUUCUCUGUAAUUCAGGUGUUACUAUUUUUAAACUCAGUUAAUCUGCAAAGCAAUGAAUUAAAUCCAGUUAUUUUUAUUUUUAAUUCUUAGAUGCUUAGUUUUCAGAUGUUUGUUGUUGGCAGAAAGCAAAGGUAAGAUUGAGAGUAUGCGGAAAUUCUUUACUGAGAGAAGUUCUGUGCACAGAAGGAGUCUGGCAGACAUUCCUGGCUCCUGACCAGUGAAUACCAGUAGUGCUUUCUCAAUUGUGGUGAUAACUUAAAAAGGACUCUAACAUUUCCAAUAUGUCCCUUGGGGGAAUAGAGGAGAGAAUGGAGGAGAAGCAGUACUAGCCACACACAAAAGAGGAAAAUAUUUAAACAUAGAAAAUAAAACUAAGAUCUCUAGAUGAAAAUACAGGAUUAACAAAAUCUUGCAGUAGAGAUUUCCUUUCUAAGCAUGACACUAAGACCAGAAAUCAUAAAAGACUAACAUAUCUGACUAAACUAGAAUAUAGACAUGAUAAAUUGAGAAAAAAUAUUUUUAAUUUAUAGUAGGGACUAUUGAUUUUUUUCUUUUAAAGGCUGCAUUUGUGGCACAUGGAAGUUCCCAGGCUAGGGGUCGAAUCAGAGCUACAGCUGCUGGCCUACACCGCCACCACAGCAACUCGGGAUUCAAGUCCCAUCAGCAAUGUACACCACAGCUCAGGGCAACGCUGGAUUCCUGACCCACUGGGGGAGGCCGGGGAUCAAACCCGUGUCCUCAUGGGUACUAGUCAGAUUUGUUUCUGCUGUGCCACUACAGGAACUCCACUAAAAAUUCACUAAAGAAAAAAUUUAUGUUAACAAUAGGGUUAUUUUAGCACUUACUAUGUGCCAAGUACAACAGGUACAAAGUAAUUGCCUUACAUGAAUUUCAUUAUUAGGAGAGGAUACAGAAUUCCUCAACCAUUAGAUUUCAUGUCAUUUUAAUGGUAAGAUCAAUUAGCUUGCCAAAGUUAAACAGCAUGUCCGUGAUGGAGGGUAGUAUUCAAGCUCUAAUUCCAGAACUCAGAGUUUUAUCAUUUUAUCAAUAACAAUGAUAUCAAUUUUAUCAAAUAUUUUAUCAAACAUUGUUAUCAAUAACAGUUCUACUGCUACAGCUAUAUUUAUUUCAUGGAAUAAAUAAAGCACAUGGAUGUCUGUAAAAGACAAAAAAUAUACUUAUUAUUUGUAACUGAGUAAAAAAUAAUCUAAAUAACUACCAAUGAGGAAUUUAUUUACUAAAAUAUGAUAUAACCAUACCAUAUAGUAUUCGGGAAUUACAGAGUAAGGGAAAUCUGUGUAGUAAUAUGGGAAGACUUUAGCAAGACUUUUAUAAAAGCCACUUGCAAAACAGACUUGCAACAUGAGCUCAUGUUAUUUUUAUUAUUUAGAAUAUUAAUAAAAACAUCUCUAUUUUGGGAAAAAAGAAGGAAAGACUACAUUCAUCAAAUUGUUUCCUAUAUAAACUCAUAGCUUUUAUAAUAUUGGUAAAAUGUCUUAUGCUCUUUCUCACUUUUAAUUUAUACCGGAAAUUUUUAAUGUUAUUCCUAAUGAUAGCAGGAAAUAACUAAUUUAUUCUCACCUUCAUAAAAUCAACCAACAAUGUUAUAGAUUGCUAAGAGAUUAUGUAGAGUUCUCAGUAUUUAAACCAGCCACUUUCUUUAUUGGUUUUCUCUAAAAAUUAUAUUAAGCUAUUUCAAGAUAGAGUACUUUUUAAAAAAGCAGUUAAGCAAUACGUAUAAAAAUUUUAAAAUUUCAACCUCUUUGAUCUAGCUAUUAUAUUUUUUAUUUAAAAGAAAUUGUGACCAAAGAUUUUAUUUCAUCAAUGUAAUAAGAACACUAGUAAAAUAAAAAAAUUAAAUCAGUAACAGAAGCUAUUUGAAUAAGUCAUGGAACAAAUACACAAUAUUGUACAGCUACUUAAAAUAAUAGUCUAGAAGAAAAUUAAAUAAUCUGGAAAGAUGUCCACAAUAUAUUGUUAAUGAAAAAAAUUUCAAGUAAAGGGGCAUAUACCAUAUGAACUCACCUAAAAAACAGAUGUCCCUAAAGAGAACGAUCUGGAAGGAUAAGCACUGAAAUGAUUAUCUCUGGAUGUUGCAGUUACAUCUGUUUUCCUAGUUUUUUUUUUUUUUUUUUGGUCUUUUUGCCAUUUCUUUAGCCGCUCCCUCGGCAAAUGGAGAUUCCCAGGUUAGGGAUCAAAUCGGAGCUGCAGCCACCAGCCUACACCAGAGCCACGCAAUGCGGGAUCCGAGCCGCAUCUGCAACCUACACCGCAGCUCAAGGCAACGCCAGAUCCUUAACCCACUGAGCAAGGCCAGGG
RNAcentral lists this long non-coding RNA (2965 nucleotides) under Sus scrofa (pig). RNAcentral's name for it is "lncRNA (ENSSSCG00000057881.1, ENSSSCG00130031440.1, ENSSSCG00175021620.1)". The record is from RNAcentral. Lineage: Eukaryota; Metazoa; Chordata; Mammalia; Artiodactyla; Suidae.